RNAcentral lists this transfer RNA (72 nucleotides) under Sphaerodactylus townsendi. Its description in RNAcentral is "tRNA-Thr". It matches the Rfam family "tRNA". Rfam says of the family: Transfer RNA (tRNA) molecules are approximately 80 nucleotides in length. Lineage: Eukaryota; Metazoa; Chordata; Lepidosauria; Squamata; Sphaerodactylidae. The record is from RNAcentral.
GGGAUAAUGGCUCAGAGGCAGAGCAUCCGUUUUGUAUGCGGAACGUCCCGGGUUCAAUCCCUCGAAUUUCCA